Long non-coding RNA from Corythoichthys intestinalis (scribbled pipefish), 389 nucleotides. RefSeq lists it as uncharacterized. The record is from RefSeq and is a predicted model, not a curated record. The transcript has 3 exons. Lineage: Eukaryota; Metazoa; Chordata; Actinopteri; Syngnathiformes; Syngnathidae.
GGCACUAUAGGGUCUUGCAUGGGAACGAGGAGACCAACCAGGUUGAACCCGGCUCAGCUGAGAAGGUUGACUUGGCUGAGCUGUUGGUUGAUAUGGUAAUUGAGGAUUCUCAGCCGUUUUCCUUGGUGGACGGCAGUGGAUUCAAAAAGCUUAUGAAAGCUUUAGCUCCUUCCUACGUUCUACCUACACGGCAGACUUUGAAAGCCAUGGUGGAAAAAAGGUACAAGGAAACCAAAGAUAAAACAAAAGCCAUUGUGGCUAAAGCAUCUGCAUGUAGUUUGACAUCAGAUAUGUGGACGUCCAUCAAUACUGAUGCCUAUCUAGCUGUGACAUGUCAUUUCAUUGAUGAAACCACAUCCCUCCAAUCAGUUGUACUGGGGGUGCAACAU